GAUGAACGCUGGCGGCGUGCUUAACACAUGCAAGUCGAACGGAAAGGCUCCUGCUUGCAGGGGUACUCGAGUGGCGAACGGGUGAGUAACACGUGGGUGAUCUGCCCUGCACUUCGGGAUAAGCCUGGGAAACUGGGUCUAAUACCGGAUAGGACGAUGGUUUGGAUGCCAUUGUGGAAAGUUUUUCGGUGUGGGAUGAGCUCGCGGCCUAUCAGCUUGUUGGUGGGGUAAUGGCCUACCAAGGCGUCGACGGGUAGCCGGCCUGAGAGGGUGUACGGCCACAUUGGGACUGGGAUACGGCCCAGACUCCUACGGGAGGCAGCAGUGGGGAAUAUUGCACAAUGGGCGCAAGCCUGAUGCAGCGACGCCGCGGGGGGGAGGACGGCCUUCGGGUUGUAAACUCCUUUCGCUAGGGACGAAGCGUUUUGUGACGGUACCUGGAGAAGAAGCACCGGCUAACUACGUG
RNAcentral lists this ribosomal RNA (466 nucleotides) under uncultured bacterium. Its description in RNAcentral is "partial 16S ribosomal RNA". It matches the Rfam family "Bacterial small subunit ribosomal RNA", at positions 28 to 507 of the family's 1533-position model. The record is from RNAcentral.